CCCUACGCUUAACNUAGGAACGGCCAUUGAUACUGUUAGGCUUGAAUUAUUANGAAGUAACUAGAAUAUGUAGUGUAGCGGUGAAAUGCUUAGAGAUUACAUGGAAUACCAAUUGCGAAGGCAGGUUACUACUAAUUGAUUGACGCUGAUGGACGAAAGCGUGGGUAGCGAACAGGAUUAGAUACCCUGGUAGUCCACGCCGUAAACGAUGGAUACUAGCUGUUGGGAGCAAUCUCAGUGGCUAAGCGAAAGUGAUAAGUAUCCCACCUGGGGAGUACGUUCGCAAGAAUGAAACUCAAAGGAAUUGACGGGGGCCCGCACAAGCGGUGGAGCAUGUGGUUUAAUUCNAUGAUACGCGAGGAACCUUACCAAGGCUUAAAUGUAGAUUGACCGAUUUGGAAACAGAUUUUUCGCAAGACAAUUUACAAGGUGCUGCAUGGUUGUCGUCAGCUCGUGCCGUGAGGUGUCAGGUUUAAGUCCUAUAAACGAGCGCAACCCCUGUUGUUAGUUGCCAGCGAGUCAAGUCGGGAACUCUAACAAGACUGCCAGUGCAAACUGUGAGGAANGUGGGGAUGACGUCAAAUCAUCACGGC
RNAcentral lists this ribosomal RNA (593 nucleotides) under uncultured bacterium. RNAcentral's name for it is "bacterial SSU rRNA". It matches the Rfam family "Bacterial small subunit ribosomal RNA", at positions 601 to 1199 of the family's 1533-position model. The record is from RNAcentral.